Molecule: ribosomal RNA, 495 nt
Filed under: uncultured bacterium
Lineage: Bacteria
Description: partial 16S ribosomal RNA
Source: RNAcentral
GUAGUUAGCCGUGGCUUCCUCCUUAGGUACCGUCAUUAUCGUCCCUAAAGACAGAGCUUUACAAUCCGAAGACCUUCUUCCCUCACGCGGCGUUGCUGGGUCAGGCUUGCGCCCAUUGCCCAAUAUUCCCCACUGCUGCCUCCCGUAGGAGUCUGGACCGUGUCUCAGUUCCAGUGUGGCCGAUCAGCCUCUCAGCUCGGCUACCCAUCGCAGGCUUGGUGGGCUGUUAUCUCACCAACUACCUAAUGGGACGCGAACCCCUCCUUCAGCGGAUUGCUCCUUUGACCUCAUCCCGAUGCCGGGUCGUGGUCUUAUGCGGUAUUAGCACUUGUUUCCAGGUGUUAUCCCCCUCUGAAGGUCAGGUUGUUCACGCGUUACUCACCCGUUCGCCACUAAAAUUUAUCUUCCAUCCGAAAACUUCUGAUAAAUCUCCGUUCGACUUGCAUGUGUUAGGCACGCCGCCAGCGUUCGUCCUGAACCAAGAUCAAAUUCUGA